UACAGAGGGUGCGAGCGUUGUCCGGAAUCACUGGGCGUAAAGGGCGCGUAGGCGGCCCGGCAAGUCAAUGGUGAAAGCUCAGGGCUCAACUCUGAGUCGGACACUGAUACUGCGGGGCUCGAGUCUGGUAGAGGCAGAUGGAAUUCCGGGUGUAGCGGUGGAAUGCGUAGAGAUCCGGAAGAACACCGGUGGCGAAGGCGGUCUGCUGGGCCAGUACUGACGCUGAGGCGCGACAGCGUGGGGAGCAAACAGG
RNAcentral lists this ribosomal RNA (253 nucleotides) under uncultured bacterium. RNAcentral's name for it is "partial 16S ribosomal RNA". It matches the Rfam family "Bacterial small subunit ribosomal RNA", at positions 524 to 776 of the family's 1533-position model. The record is from RNAcentral.